CGAGGGAACGGUAGACAUAGAUCGGAUUCCUACGCGAGACACCUUUAAGGAAUAUUGGUCAACGACGAAGAUCGAACCAUCCUUCUGAUUAAGGACAAGGUCUUUUGAUUGUAGAGUUCCUAAUUGGGAGAAGCCCUGGAAUUUUAUGAGGUGAAGGUACCAGAGGAUAAGCCCGGCUGCUCCCUCCCACAGACGCGAUAAAUAUGAAGGGUGCGAGCGUUUUCCGGAUCAAUGGUUUAAAGGGUGCUCAGGUGGGUCUGUAAGUUCAGUGAGGAAAUCUCCGGUCUUAUCCUGGAAGCCGCCCACCAAUACUAUAUAUCUUUAAUUUUCCGGAGGUAAGCGGAAUAACUCAGUAGCGAUGAAAUGCUAAGAAUACCCCAUAAACACCAAUUUGAAGGCAGCUUGCAACAAGAAUAUUGACACAGAGGCUCGUAAGCGUGCGGCUCAAACAGGAUUAGAUACCCUGGUUGUCCGCGCCCUAAAUUAUGGGUGCUGGGCUUUUGUGAUACACAAUAAGUGUCUGAGCGAAAGCAUUAAGUAUCCCACCUGGGAAGUACGACCGCCAGGUUGAAACUCAAAGGAAUUGGUGGGGGUCCGCACAAGCGGUGGAGCAUGUGGUUUAAUUCGAUGAUACGCGAGGAACCUUACCUGGGCUAGAAUGCUGGGAAACCGUGGGUGAAAGAUCAUUUUGUAGCAACACACAGCCAGUAAGGUGCUGCAUGGCUGUCGUCAGCUCGUGCCGUGAGGUGUUGGGUUAAGUCCCACAACGAGCGCAACCCCUAUCCCUAGUUGCCAUCAGGUAAUGCUGGGAACUCUAGUGAAACUGCCGUCGUAAGACGCGAGGAAGGAGGGGAUGAUGUCAAGUCAUCAUGGCCUUUAUGCCCAGGGCUACACACGUGCUACAAAGGGAAGUCCAAAGGGUUGCCACCUGGGGACAGGGCGCUAAUCUCAAAAAACUUCUCUCAGUUCAGAUUGCAGGCUGCAACUCGCCUGCAUGAAGCUGGAAUCGCUAGUAAUGGUAGAUCAGCAACGCUACGGUGAAUACGUUCCCGGACCUUGCACACACCUCCCUUCAAGCCAUGGAAGCUGGGUGUACCUAAAGUCGAUAACCGCAAGGAGUCGCCUAGGGAAAAACUGAACGGCUGU
This 1146-nucleotide ribosomal RNA is filed under the name uncultured bacterium. RNAcentral's name for it is "bacterial SSU rRNA". It matches the Rfam family "Bacterial small subunit ribosomal RNA", at positions 306 to 1478 of the family's 1533-position model. The record is from RNAcentral.